CGUACUGAUGCCAUGACGAUUACCAAUAAAGGUUUGAAGAACAGACUGCAAAGCAUCAUGAAGAGGAUUGAGAGAAUAGAGGAAUUGGCACCAGAAAUAAAAAUGAGACGGCAAGACAAGCUAAAUGAGGAAAUAGAGUUGCUGAAUCAGAAACUGCGAUUUUUAAAUC
Carcharodon carcharias (great white shark) is the source of this 169-nucleotide long non-coding RNA. RefSeq lists it as uncharacterized. Lineage: Eukaryota; Metazoa; Chordata; Chondrichthyes; Lamniformes; Lamnidae. The record is from RefSeq and is a predicted model, not a curated record. The transcript has 3 exons.